UACAGUAAGCUAUAAGCUAAGCAGCACCUAAUCGAGUCUCCUUCUCUCUAUUCUCCAGAGCAACUCUGUGACCUAUGCCUGCCUGCCUGCUUGCCUGGAAAACGAACCCUGCAUGGAUCUUCUCUCUCUUUCCUGAACCCUGCGAAGGAGGUCACUAUAUAAUUAACUGACUAAAAUGCAUGGGCCUUUUUGCAAAUGAAACUCUUUUGUUGCAUCUUGUGGUUGACUUCUACUAUUCAUUGCUCUGGGAAAUUUGUUUUUGUGUGUGUAUGUGUGUCUUAUUUUAUUACUAUUGCUCAGUCUACAUGUUUAUUUAGAUUAAUGGUUGUGGAGAUUUGUUUUUGGGAGAAAAUGAGGAGAGAUUGCUUUAGUUUUGCUUUGGAUUCUAGAUUGUGAACAGCUUGUUGACAUGAAUUCCUUUGAUAAUCAUUUCAUGUACUUACACUCUCGUGGGACAUUAUUUGCUUCCUCCAGCUUCUGCAGUCUGUUUCCUGAAUGAUCAAAUUAUGUCUAACUCUCCUGCUUUCAAAGUGAUUUCUGCUUCUUGCACUUUGCUACUAUCUAUUGUCUGUCUAUCUAUCCAUCCAUCUAUCUCAAUUAAGAAUACAUAACUUAAUGCUACUCCAGCCUUUUUAUUUUUGAGUUCUGGGUAUUCACAAUAUGAGAAGCACCUGGAAAAAAAAAUCAAGCAACACAGAUGCAUGUCAUCUUAAAUUCAGCCUCUGGCCAUCAGAAAAGUGUAUGAAAAUGUCCAGUAUCAACACCAUAAUUAAAAUGAAAAAGGUUACCCCACAAAAUUACAUUAUUUCUUUUCUAUUAUUUAAUGACCCCAUCAGAUGGCCAGCAGCAACCAGCAGUAGCACUGCUCUUAAGGGCAAGGCAUGGAGGUGGUUGUUUCGCCUCAUUUCACUACGAUUCACCCUGCACGAAAGCCAGGUGUGUGUGUGUUGUCAGAUCCAUGGGUGGAACGCUACACACACUAUGCACAGCCCUCACUUCUCCCCAUUUUAUUGCCCUACCAGCUGGUGAAGCGGAGUGAGGUGAGGGCCUCCAUGCCUCACCCUUAAGAGCAGCAGUGCCGUCACCUGCUGAUGUGGUCCUUAAUCUGUAUGGAGGAUGAUAGAGGUGGUGAUGAGCAGGAAAUCAAACACACACACACACACAUACACAGGAAUAAAGGAAGAACAGGGAGAGUCCUGGGCUUUACAUGGAUACAUGAAACUGCAUAAUAACAAACCUUAUUAUUUUUAAUGUAACAAAAUAUGGAGAUACUGAGAAGAGGGUUGUUAGAUCCCAGCCAGCCAUGGCACCAGGGCCUGCAGUGUUUCAGGACUUGCACUUUGACACAGAUAAUGCUGAGGAUUGUACUGACAUUUCACCCUCCAUGGAGGGGCCUUUGCAGCUGCAGGUGCCCGAAAAUAUUGGCUCUGGAGACUUGCUAAUUGGGGAAGAUUCUUCUAUUCCUCCCUCGCAGAUAGAGCCAGAUGUUGCAGAGAUGCCUGGGAACGGGGUUUUUAAUCAUAGAGAUUUUGUAACCAGAGACAGAAGUGCAAAACAAGGGGUCCAUCGGAACCAGAGACUGGCAAAUAGAUGGGAUAAUGGUUAGUGUUCCCAUGGGAAAGUUUUGGGAGUUUGUACCCGCUAAAUUGUGAACAGUUCAGAAUCUGUUAAAAGUGUUUUGCUGAGUAGAUUUUCUUGUGGUGUCAACGUAGCUCUUCCUUGAGAGAGGUUCUCCGUCUCCAGCUCCAGCUUGUUUCCAAGCCAAGUUUAUCCAGUUCCAGUCGGGCCGUGCCGUGCCGCGACUCUCAAGUAGACCUUGACUUUACUCCAGUUGUUUCCUUGUUCCUGAUUCAAGUUUGCUUCAGCUUUGACAACCUUGCUGCCUUGAUUGCUACAAAGUAUUUCCAGUCGAUUGAACUCUGUUUCUGCCAGCCUUGUUUCUCUGUUUCAACUCAUGGACCCUUUGGUUUCUUUGGAGAGCUAUCGAGUUCUCAUUGUGGAUUAUAAUAUUGGACCUUUUCCUUUACCCAUUUGGAACUACCAUUGACUUUCUAAAAAGAAUUAUUCCUUACUCAGACUCUAUACCUAAUUCCCUUUGGAUAUAUAAUUGUUUUAAUAAAGAUAUAUUGUGUUA
Long non-coding RNA from Anolis carolinensis (green anole), 2134 nucleotides. RefSeq lists it as uncharacterized. The record is from RefSeq and is a predicted model, not a curated record. Lineage: Eukaryota; Metazoa; Chordata; Lepidosauria; Squamata; Anolidae. The transcript has 2 exons.